UACGAAGGGGGCUAGCGUUGUUCGGAAUUACUGGGCGUAAAGCGCGCGCAGGCGGUUUUCCAAGUCAGUGGUGAAAGCCCGGAGCUCAACUCCGGAACUGCCAUUGAAACUGUGAAACUUGAGUACGAGAGAGGUGAGUGGAAUUCCCAGUGUAGAGGUGAAAUUCGUAGAUAUUGGGAAGAACACCGGUGGCGAAGGCGGCUCACUGGCUCGUUACUGACGCUCAGGCGCGACAGCGUGGGGAUCAAACAGG
This 253-nucleotide ribosomal RNA is filed under the name uncultured bacterium. RNAcentral describes it as "partial 16S ribosomal RNA". It matches the Rfam family "Bacterial small subunit ribosomal RNA", at positions 524 to 776 of the family's 1533-position model. The record is from RNAcentral.